Molecule: ribosomal RNA, 253 nt
Filed under: uncultured bacterium
Lineage: Bacteria
Description: partial 16S ribosomal RNA
Rfam family: Bacterial small subunit ribosomal RNA
Source: RNAcentral
UACGGAGGGUGCAAGCGUUAUCCGGAUUCACUGGGUUUAAAGGGUGCGUAGGUGGGUUUGAAAGUCAGUGGUGAAAUCUCCGGGCUCAACCCGGAAACUGCCAUUGAUACUACAGGUCUUGAAUUUUCUGGAGGAUAGCGGAAUAUGUCAUGUAGCGGUGAAAUGCUUAGAUAUGACAUAGAACACCAAUUGCGAAGGCAGCUAUCUACAGGGAUAUUGACACUGAGGCACGAAAGCGUGGGGAUCAAACAGG